GAGUGGCUGCGGCCGCGGCGUACUCAGCACGGCGCUCCCGCGCUAGUUUUUGCCGCUGCCGUCAGCAAGCGUGCUUCGCAUCUUGCGAACAAAAGAAAUCCGUUUAUCUCCGGCUACCGGAGCACGGGUUGGCUCACAAGGCGUAGGCUCUCUAGCUCGUGCAGCGGCACCCGGCUGCGGGGUACGCGUACAACUCGCGUGCCCUGCGCCUUGUGCCGCCCACGAAACCCCAGGUGGGGUGCGGCGACGGGAACGCCCGCGUCGUGUUCCGCCUUUGCCCUGCAAAAUCGGUUAACUUACGGGAGCACUAUCCAUAUGUUGUGUCCUUUGGUUGAGGCMGGUUCGGCUCGUGCCUGAACUUGGUGCUGACUUCACAGCACGUUCCCUGCAGCAGUGACGGGCUCG
RNAcentral lists this unclassified non-coding RNA (405 nucleotides) under Ibicella parodii. Its description in RNAcentral is "partial external transcribed spacer". The record is from RNAcentral. Lineage: Eukaryota; Viridiplantae; Streptophyta; Magnoliopsida; Lamiales; Martyniaceae.